GCAAAAUUGAGUGGACAGUACUAAGAGUUCCCAUACGCCCUCUGUCCCCAUACUAUCCCACAGCCACAUACUAUCCUAAUUUUAAUAAUAUAUUUUAUUUAACCCAAUAUAUAAAAUUAUUAUUAUUUCAACAUUAAUCAAUAUAAAAAUCAUUAAUGAGGUAUUUUACCUUUUUUUCCGCUGUAUACUGCUUUAGUUUUUACAGUUUAAAAUGUGGCCCUAGCCAUGUUUCAAGUGCUCAACAGCCACAUGUGGCUAGUGGCCACCUAUUAGUGCAGAAGAGAAUCAGAUGUUCCAAGGAACAUAGUUUAGGAAAUGCUGGUCUAGCCACACCUGCCCAUCACACAGAUGAAGCUGUGGAGCGAGGAACGUUGGAAGUGACUCUCCUGACAUAGAGACCCAAGUAGCGUCAGAGGUGAGAUCAACACACAAGAGUAGUUCUUGCCACUACACUGUGACUCAAACAUAAAUCUUCUCCUUUGUAGGAGGGAGAAUUCCACCUUCCUUCCUGUGCCCUGCAGGAGAACUCUCUUCUGUUCCUUUGACUUGAAUUAGAAUGGGGCUUAGCCUAGGGCCAGGAGUCCUGAGCCUGCAGUGACUAUCCCCAGCCUUUCAUUCUGCUAUAGUUCUCGAAUCUCUGUGCUGUCUUAAGAUUUGCACAGUAUCCAUUCUUAGUCAGCUUAGGUGUAUCUUUCAGGCCAUAGUGUACUGGGGUCCCUAACCGCAGGGUCAUUGGUCACUGGGGUUCUGGAAUGCAGAGGACAAGAGGAGUCUUCUGUUCAUCACCCAUUCAACAAAUACUCAUUGACCACCCAACAACGUGAUGUGUUCCAGGCCCUGGGGACAUAUCAAUGAACAAGCCAAGUCCUUGACCUCUGGAAUUUAGAUUCCAGUGGUGGGAGACAGACAAAACACAAAUAUGUAAAUAGAUGGCACAUCAGGUAGGAAUAAGCUUUACUGAGAGAAGAGAAAAUAAGGGUAAACAGGAGUAAGGAAUGGAGCAAACAUCCGAGAAAACUGCUUAUAAUAUUUUGGUCAAUAAGAUAGGAAAAUAUUGAGGAAGAGAUACAGAUGUUGAAGAAAGACAAGAUGCUGGAGGAAGACAAGACUGGUUGACAGACAAAAACAUCUUGAAGACACAAUCCGGUAUACUGGGACCAUAUCCAAGGACUGGCCCAUUUUGAGUACCUUGGAGGAAUUUCUAUGAAUUCCGAGGCCAAGAGAAAGUAAUUGAAGGAGGAAACAUACAACGAAAAAAUAUUCUUUAGGAUAAGAAUAAGCUAAAGAGAAAGGAAUGCUCUUUUCAUUUAACGGCCACAGCAUGAGUCCUCAUUCAGAGAAAGACAAGAACUGGAGCAGAGCACAGCAUGGAAGAAAAGCAGGACGAGGGUCUGCAAUUCAUCUCUUACGUCUGACGUGUUGUGGUGGAAAGAACAACAGUGAUGUAGUGAUUUUACACCUAUUCCGAUUCUUAUAUUUUAGAUCUUGAACACUUGUAUAAAUUUUAAGCAAAGCCAAAAAAUAUGCAAAAGGAAAAGAGCACAUCUUUAUAUUUUUGGAGAAAUAAUAGAGGUGCCAAAACAUAUGCUCUCAAUUAGAUUUUAAUAAAUCCAAUUACACUUUAAUCAAAUCCAUUUGUGUUUUAAAGACCUGAAAUCUGUAAAACCAUUGAAUAGGGUAUCCUACUAUUUAUAACGUAAUGAUUUAUACUUUUAAUUGACUUCAGAACAUGGGGUUAUUUUAUUUGGUCUCUGAAGAGUUUCUCCACCCUGGGUCCAGAAGAAAAGCACAACUAGAAACCACAGCUGAUUACAUAACAGAAAAUUCCAGCGAGGUACAAAUCUGAUCCUCACUUUUAGUCUGGUUUUCUUUGUUUAUUUGUUUUUAAAUGAAAGCACAUAUAAUUUUUGAAUUAUGAUUAGCUUUUUUGUUUUUCCCUUUUGGAAAGCUAUCAGUAACAGUUUUUUCAGGACCGAAGCAUAAAGGAAUGUGGGGAAAGGAUUGACCUUUUUCUCAUUGUCUGGAACCUUCAAGAAUGCAAAACUGAGAUAUUAUAGUCUCAGUUAAGCUAUUCAUUGUUACCAGUUGGUAAAAUGUAAUACCGUUUAUGUUGAAUUUCUGCAACCAUGGAAAGUACUGACAAGAAUUGCUUUUACAUAAAAAAAAAUAAAGUCUAGAUCAGAAAUGAAACAUAGAUUAGAAGAACACUAUACAUCAUUCUUCCAGACCUGCUCUGUCCAAUACUGUGGCCACUCACCAUAGGUGGCUAUUGAGUGCUUGAAAUGCAGCGUCAGGUAAGAAAAACAUCCUCUAACCUCUUAGGUUCAGUACCUG
RNAcentral lists this long non-coding RNA (2334 nucleotides) under Equus caballus (horse). Its description in RNAcentral is "lncRNA (ENSECAG00000055657.1)". The record is from RNAcentral. Lineage: Eukaryota; Metazoa; Chordata; Mammalia; Perissodactyla; Equidae.